GAUGAACGCUGGCGGCGUGCCUAAUACAUGCAAGUCGAGCGAACAGACGAGGAGCUUGCUCCUCUGACGUUAGCGGCGGACGGGUGAGUAACACGUGGAUAACCUACCUAUAAGACUGGGAUAACUUCGGGAAACCGGAGCUAAUACCGGAUAAUAUAUUGAACCGCAUGGUUCAAUAGUGAAAGACGGUUUUGCUGUCACUUAUAGAUGGAUCCGCGCCGCAUUAGCUAGUUGGUAAGGUAACGGCUUACCAAGGCAGCGAUGCGUAGCCGACCUGAGAGGGUGAUCGGCCACACUGGAACUGAGACACGGUCCAGUCUCCUACGGGAGGCAGCAGUAGGGAAUCUUCCGCAAUGGGCGCAGGCCUGACGGAGCAACGCCGCGUGAGUGAUGAAGGUCUUCGGAUCGUAAAACUCUGUUAUUAGGGAAGAACAAAUGUGUAAGUAACUAUGCACGUCUUGACGGUACCUAAUCAGAAAGCCACGGCUAACUACGUG
This 497-nucleotide ribosomal RNA is filed under the name uncultured bacterium. RNAcentral describes it as "partial 16S ribosomal RNA". It matches the Rfam family "Bacterial small subunit ribosomal RNA", at positions 28 to 507 of the family's 1533-position model. The record is from RNAcentral.